Eriocheir sinensis (Chinese mitten crab) is the source of this 1339-nucleotide long non-coding RNA. RefSeq lists it as uncharacterized. The transcript has 7 exons. The record is from RefSeq and is a predicted model, not a curated record. NCBI's taxonomy places the organism in Eukaryota, Metazoa, Arthropoda, Malacostraca, Decapoda, Varunidae.
ACACAGCUGCCAAGGGUGACUCUGAGUCUGACCAAUCAUCCAGACCAGAUCUUCAGUGGGGCCUGGUCAGGAUGUGGACGGCUAUUUGCCACUCUUUGCCGCGAUGGUUUUGUCCGAAUCUACGAGCCAAGGAAGAGUUCAACGCCAGUUAUGGAUGGUGGCGAUGGCAGUGGUGGUGGUGGUGGUGGUGGUGGGAGAGGAGGGAGGAUACUGUGGGGCCCCAAGGAUGAACUACUCAUCACCACUGGGUUCAACAGGGUAUCGGAGAGGCAGAUCAGUGUUUACAGCACCAAGAACAUUAGCAAGCCAGUCACCACUAUCGGCAUCGACGUUAGCCCGGCAAUCCUGACACUAUAUUUCGAUCCUGAUUCUGGAGUCCUGCUGACCACUGGAAAGGGUGACUGUACAAUCUAUGCUCAUGAAGUGGGACUGGAUUUCCCGCACCUCUUCCCCUUAACACACCACAAAGCAGCCACUGUUCACCAGGGUCUUGUCAUGCUGCCCAAGACUCUGUGUGACGUUAAGUCGGUUGAGUUUUGCAAGCUGCUGCGGCUGACCUCUUCAACCCUGGAGCCUCUCACCUUCUCAGUCCCCCGUGUCAAGUUUUCAGAUUGCUCAUUUGUUCCUAAUAGGGGGAACGAGCCUGGAAGACACCAUUAGGCGGCUGCUGCGCUAUACCAUAGCUGGCCCGUUAGCUGUGAUGUUUAACUGGUGUGGGAAAGGUGCAAGAGAGCAUUUGGAACUUUGCAUAUAAAGAGCACACUCUAUAAAUGUAUCCGUAGGCAUUACAGGAAUGCUACUACAGCUGUGAUGGAGAAGGUAAUGAGAGAAUGGUUUAGAACAGCUAAAGAUCGGGAAGGAGGACGCCCAAGGCGACAUGAACACCAAUGCACUGAGGACUCUAGGAGUUCACAACAGUAGUAGUAGUGGCGGUAGACAAUCAGUGUUCUUCCCCGAAACCUACCAAUGGUGGUGUUCUGCAGGGCUCUGGGCCGUAUUACAAGUUAAACCCAAGAAGUUUCGGGUCCCUACAAAGGUUGCUUUAAGGGCCGUAUUACAAGUCCAAUCCGAGAAGUUUCGGGUCCCUACAGAAUUAUUCAUCCCGCACUCUGUAGGGAACCGAAACUUCUCUGAUUGGACUUGUAGUACGGUCCCUAAACCGACCUUUGUAGGCACCCAAAACUUGUCGGGUUUGACUUGUAAUACGGCCCAGUGACUAUCAAAUCUCCCACUCUCUUUGUUCACUGAUGAUCUUUUUUCCAAUACAAAAACUGUUCUAUCCAUUUUUAUGUUGAUAACUCUAGUCUGCAUUACUCAACAUCUUCUAAUAGAAGACCUU